UUGUAUUUUUCUUCAUUAGAAUUGUCAAAACUCUCUUUUAGUUUGGCUCACUUAAAUGUAUUUUAGCAUAAAAUUUUGAGUAACAAAACGCUACAUACAUAGAAAUCUAUUUUUUUGUAACAUAAUUAAGGUGAUGUAAUAUGUUGCUGGCGAUGUCUGGAGAUCCGAAAACACAAGAAUCAGACGCAAUAGUUUGUCACACCAAGUGCCGCAUUCCACAACGUUUAUCAUCCGCACGGCAACGAUCUGGGAAAAAUAACCCAAACGAACAAACGAAAAACGAAGGCUCAAAAGGGCUAAAUAAGGAUUUAGCAAGGUCACAUUUG
This is a long non-coding RNA of Vanessa tameamea, 326 nucleotides long. RefSeq lists it as uncharacterized. NCBI's taxonomy places the organism in Eukaryota, Metazoa, Arthropoda, Insecta, Lepidoptera, Nymphalidae. The transcript is spliced from 3 exons. The record is from RefSeq and is a predicted model, not a curated record.